GAGUGUUACAGGUCUUUUAGAAUGUGUUUAGUAGGUCUUCUGGCUCUUGCUGGAAGACCCUU
Molecule: small nuclear RNA, 62 nt
Organism: Dasypus novemcinctus (nine-banded armadillo)
Lineage: Eukaryota; Metazoa; Chordata; Mammalia; Cingulata; Dasypodidae
Gene: U7
Rfam family: U7 small nuclear RNA
About the family: Animal histone pre-mRNAs are spliced by a different mechanism than nuclear pre-mRNAs and self-splicing introns. This processing involves the U7 snRNP, which contains only one RNA species: U7. The 5' end of U7 RNA is thought to base-pair to a conserved spacer element downstream of the cleavage site in histone pre-mRNA.
Source: Ensembl